CAGUGAAACGGUUGCGUUUUGAUGGAACAAUAAAUAGCCUGCAGUCAUUUACGUCUCUCUGCUCCCGGAGUCCUCUUCUACUGCGAGACCCUCUAUGGCUUCUUUUGUCCAGAAACUUGUAAGAAAAUCAUUGCCCACAAGAGUUAUCACCGCAUUAAAUAACAAGCCACAAGCAUCAAAUCUCUUGAUUCAUCAUCCCCAUGUUGGCGAAACCAAGGUAAACUUUCUCACUCCCUACACAAUCAAUCAAAUCCUCUUCUUCGGUUCACCUAAAGCAUCCGAUGCCGUGCAUAUGUACCCAAGUUUUCCAUUUGGGUUUUGUUUAAACCCAAUUUCAUUAACUGGGUUGGUUCAAUCUGAACCGAACGACGUCACAUUGGGUGAUUCCCAGACGGUUUGGGCUGAUAGUGUAAAGAAAAAGCGGAAGAGGAAAAUGAACAAGCACAAGUACAAGAAGCUGAGGAAGCGUCUUCAAAGACAGACCUAGAUUCAUUAGGGAGUGUCGGGGGAUCUUCUACGAGAUGAGCAGUGAAUAAUCAAAGGAACCAAGGUCAAGGGCAUGGCAGAAACUGAAAAAAUAAAAAUGAUUCUUUGUUUGUUUUGAAUCGUUGUUUGAUGGUGAACUGGGUCUUGGGUCGCUGCACUUAAGUGUAUUUGAUAGUAAGUAAAUUUGGAUUGUGAAUUCCAACAUGGGGUUACAAUCCACAAAAGGAACUUUGCC
Long non-coding RNA from Vitis riparia (riverbank grape), 721 nucleotides. RefSeq lists it as uncharacterized. The transcript is spliced from 2 exons. The record is from RefSeq and is a predicted model, not a curated record. Lineage: Eukaryota; Viridiplantae; Streptophyta; Magnoliopsida; Vitales; Vitaceae.